GGAUCCAGACUUUGAUUCUGGCUCAGGAUGAACGCUAGCUACAGGCUUAACACAUGCAAGUCGAGGGGCAGCAUGGUCUUAGCUUGCUAAGGCCGAUGGCGACCGGCGCACGGGUGAGUAACACGUAUCCAACCUGCCGUCUACUCUUGGACAGCCUUCUGGAAGGAAGAUUAAUACAAGAUGGCAUCAUGAGUCCGCAUGUUCACAUGAUUAAAGGUAUUCCGGUAGACGAUGGGGAUGCGUUCCAUUAGAUAGUAGGCGGGGUAACGGCCCACCUAGUCUUCGAUGGAUAGGGGUUCUGAGAGG
This 306-nucleotide ribosomal RNA is filed under the name uncultured Bacteroidota bacterium. RNAcentral's name for it is "bacterial SSU rRNA". It matches the Rfam family "Bacterial small subunit ribosomal RNA", at positions 1 to 299 of the family's 1533-position model. The record is from RNAcentral. Lineage: Bacteria; Pseudomonadati; Bacteroidota.